Molecule: ribosomal RNA, 157 nt
Filed under: Dispharynx nasuta
Lineage: Eukaryota; Metazoa; Nematoda; Chromadorea; Rhabditida; Acuariidae
Description: 5.8S ribosomal RNA
Rfam family: 5.8S ribosomal RNA
About the family: 5.8S ribosomal RNA (5.8S rRNA) is a component of the large subunit of the eukaryotic ribosome. It is transcribed by RNA polymerase I as part of the 45S precursor that also contains 18S and 28S rRNA. Functionally, it is thought that 5.8S rRNA may be involved in ribosome translocation.
Source: RNAcentral
AUACUCUUAGCGGUGGAUCACUUGGCUCGUGGAUCGAUGAAGAACGCAGCUAGCUGCGAUAACUAGUGCGAAUUGCAGACACAUUGAGCACAAAAAUUUCGAACGCAAAUUGCGCCAUCGGGUUUAUUCCCCUUGGCACGUCUGGCUGAGGGUCGGU